CAGUAGCCACGGUAAUACAGAGGGUGCGAGCGUUAAUCGGAUUUACUGGGCGUAAAGCGUGCGUAGGCGGCUUCUUAAGUCGGAUGUGAAAUCCCUGAGCUUAACUUAGGAAUUGCAUUCGAUACUGGGAAGCUAGAGUAUGGGAGAGGAUGGUAGAAUUCCAGGUGUAGCGGUGAAAUGCGUAGAGAUCUGGAGGAAUACCGAUGGCGAAGGCAGCCAUCUGGCCUAAUAAUGACGCUGAGGUACGAAAGCAUGGGGAGCAAACAGGAUUAGAUACCCGUGUAGUCCCUGUCUCUUAUAA
This 301-nucleotide ribosomal RNA is filed under the name uncultured bacterium. Its description in RNAcentral is "partial 16S ribosomal RNA". It matches the Rfam family "Bacterial small subunit ribosomal RNA", at positions 509 to 809 of the family's 1533-position model. The record is from RNAcentral.